AAAUUGAAGAGUUUGAUCAUGGCUCAGAUUGAACGCUGGCGGCAGGCCUAACACAUGCAAGUCGAACGGUAACAGGAAGCAGCUUGCUGCUUCGCUGACGAGUGGCGGACGGGUGAGUAAUGUCUGGGAAACUGCCUGAUGGAGGGGGAUAACUACUGGAAACGGUAGCUAAUACCGCAUAAUGUCGCAAGACCAAA
RNAcentral lists this ribosomal RNA (197 nucleotides) under Escherichia coli. Its description in RNAcentral is "partial 16S ribosomal RNA". It matches the Rfam family "Bacterial small subunit ribosomal RNA", at positions 1 to 205 of the family's 1533-position model. The record is from RNAcentral. Lineage: Bacteria; Pseudomonadati; Pseudomonadota; Gammaproteobacteria; Enterobacterales; Enterobacteriaceae. RNAcentral also lists the same sequence under 3 other names.